This 317-nucleotide small nuclear RNA is filed under the name Erinaceus europaeus (western European hedgehog). RNAcentral's name for it is "7SK RNA". It matches the Rfam family "7SK RNA". From Rfam's summary of the family: 7SK was discovered as an abundant small nuclear RNA in the mid-70s but a possible function has only recently been suggested. Two independent studies have found that 7SK RNA binds the CDK9/cyclin T complex (known as elongation factor P-TEFb). Lineage: Eukaryota; Metazoa; Chordata; Mammalia; Eulipotyphla; Erinaceidae. The record is from Rfam by way of RNAcentral.
GGAUGUGAGGGCGAUCUGGCUGCGACAACUGUCACCCCAUUAAUCACCAGGGUUGAUUCGGCUGAUCUUGCUGAUAGGCUGGUGUCCCCUUCCUCCCUCACGCUCCAUGUGCGUCCUCCAGGAGCUGGGUGGAAGAGGACCGCCUUCCCAGAAUAGAGACCGACCGGUAUAGGAGGGUAUAAGAGUAGCUGCGCUGCCCUGCUAGAACCUCCAAACAAGCUCUCAAGUACCUACAUAAUAACUAUUAAUGAGAAAAUAAGGGAUAGUAAUAAUAGUUAACAUUUAUUGGGUGGCUAUGUAACUACUAGACUUUAAGU